RNAcentral lists this non-coding RNA (186 nucleotides) under Tigheibacillus jepli. Its description in RNAcentral is "6S RNA". It matches the Rfam family "6S / SsrS RNA". From Rfam's summary of the family: E. coli 6S RNA was the first non coding RNA to be sequenced, but its function was unknown until recently. It consists of 184 nucleotides that fold into an extended hairpin structure with a large single-stranded internal bulge. The 6S RNA specifically associates with RNA polymerase holoenzyme containing the sigma70 specificity factor. Lineage: Bacteria; Bacillati; Bacillota; Bacilli; Caryophanales; Bacillaceae. The record is from RNAcentral.
CAGAAGCUGCGAUGUACGUAUUUACUUAAGUUUUAACCUCUAAUUAUGGAAUAGGGAGUUUUAAAUCGGAGUCCUAAUGCCGCGCCGUUUUGCAAUACGGAAGGCAGGAAGACUUCUGCGAACACCCACUUGGCGAAGUGGUGGUUUAAAACUUUUUAUGAAUAAUACGGCACUUGUGGCUGUAAA